Molecule: small RNA, 122 nt
Filed under: Arabidopsis thaliana (thale cress)
Lineage: Eukaryota; Viridiplantae; Streptophyta; Magnoliopsida; Brassicales; Brassicaceae
Description: ATSL034040
Source: RNAcentral
AUUUAUAGAUCUCUUCUACAUUAGUUGUUCUUAAUGCCUAUUGCUUUCUGAUCAACUGGAAUUUGAGCCCAGACAUUUCCGCACCCAAAAAGUGUUCGAUGAAAUGUCUGAACCACUAAUUC